UACGAAGGGUGCUAGCGUUGUUCGGAAUCACUGGGCGUAAAGCGCGCGUAGGCGGCGAUACAAGUCAGAGGUGAAAGCCUGGAGCUCAACUCCAGAACUGCCUUUGAAACUGUAUUGCUAGAGUGUCGGAGGGGAUAGCGGAAUUGCUAAUGUAGAGGUGAAAUUCGUAGAUAUUAGCAGGAACACCGGUGGCGAAGGCGGCUAUCUGGACGACAACUGACGCUGAGGCGCGAAAGCGUGGGGAUCAAACAGG
This 253-nucleotide ribosomal RNA is filed under the name uncultured bacterium. RNAcentral describes it as "partial 16S ribosomal RNA". It matches the Rfam family "Bacterial small subunit ribosomal RNA", at positions 524 to 776 of the family's 1533-position model. The record is from RNAcentral.